GACCCGUAUUUCAAAACUGAAUUUCUUUUUACCAAUAUUUUUAUGCUUAUUCAUUUUAGAUAAUUUAUUAUUGUAUAUAUAAAAGUGUAAGAUAUGUUAAUUUUUAGACAUGUAUUAUAUAGUUUGUUAAUUUUAAGCCGUUCUAUCAUCAUAUUAUAUUUUAAAUAAAUAGUUUAUAUUUAUGAAAAUAAAAUUUAUAAAUUUAUCAAUUGA
This 213-nucleotide long non-coding RNA is filed under the name Brassica napus (rape). RNAcentral's name for it is "long non-coding RNA (BNAP_LNC003856)". Lineage: Eukaryota; Viridiplantae; Streptophyta; Magnoliopsida; Brassicales; Brassicaceae. The record is from RNAcentral.